RNAcentral lists this ribosomal RNA (655 nucleotides) under uncultured bacterium. Its description in RNAcentral is "bacterial SSU rRNA". It matches the Rfam family "Bacterial small subunit ribosomal RNA", at positions 8 to 670 of the family's 1533-position model. The record is from RNAcentral.
AGAGUUUGAUCCUGGCUCAGGACGAACGCUGGCGGCGUGCUUAACACAUGCAAGUCGAGCGAAGCACUUCAGGUAGCUUGCUACCUGAUUUGACUGAGCGGCGAACGGGUGAGUAACACGUGGGUGAUCUGCCUGGAAGCCUGGGAUAACAGUUGGAAACGGCUGCUAAUACCGGAUGAUGUUUUAGCUGUAGGAGCUAAAACCAAAGCGCUAUGUAGCGCUUCCAGAUGAGCCCGCGUCCCAUUAGCUAGUUGGUGGGGUAAUGGCCUACCAAGGCGACGAUGGGUAGCCGGUCUGAGAGGAUGGUCGGCCACACUGGGACUGAGACACGGCCCAGACUCCUACGGGAGGCAGCAGUGGGGAAUUUUGCGCAAUGGGGGCAACCCUGACGCAGCGACGCCGCGUGAGUGAUGAAGGCCUUCGGGUUGUAAAACUCUGUCUAGAGGGAAGAUAGUGACGGUACCUCUGGAGGAAGCCCCGGCUAACUACGUGCCAGCAGCCGCGGUAAGACGUAGGGGGCGAGCGUUGUCCGGAAUUACUGGGCGUAAAGGGCGUGUAGGCGGCCUGCUAAGUCAGCUGUGAAAUCCCCCGGCUCAACUGGGGGCCUGCAGUUGAUACUAACAGGCUUGAGUGCAGGAGAGGAAGGUGGAAUUCC